UACGGAGGAUGCAAGCGUUAUCCGGAUUUACUGGGCGUAAAGGGUGCGUAGGUGGUUUCUUAAGUCAGAGGUGAGAGGCUACGGCUCAACCGUAGUAAGCCUUUGAAACUGAGAAACUUGAGUGCAGGAGAGGAGAGUGGAAUUCCUAGUGUAGCGGUGAAAUGCGUAGAUAUUAGGAGGAACACCAGUUGCGAAGGCGGCUCUCUGGACUGUAACUGACACUGAGGCACGAAAGCGUGGGGAGCAAACAGGAUUAGAUACCCCUGUAGU
Molecule: ribosomal RNA, 270 nt
Filed under: uncultured prokaryote
Description: partial 16S ribosomal RNA
Rfam family: Bacterial small subunit ribosomal RNA
Source: RNAcentral